This 470-nucleotide ribosomal RNA is filed under the name uncultured bacterium. Its description in RNAcentral is "bacterial SSU rRNA". It matches the Rfam family "Bacterial small subunit ribosomal RNA", at positions 974 to 1437 of the family's 1533-position model. The record is from RNAcentral.
CCCAGGUUGGACAUGCACGUAGUAGAAAGGUGAAAGCCUGACGAGGUAGCAAUACCAGCGUGCUCAGGUGCUGCAUGGCUGUCGUCAGCUCGUGCCGUGAGGUGUUGGGGUUAAGUCCCGCAACGAGCGCAACCCCUGCUUUCAGUUGCUACCGGGUCAUGCCGAGCACUCUGAAAGGACUGCCCAGGAUAACGGGGAGGAAGGUGGGGAUGACGUCAAGUCAGCAUGGCCUUUAUGCCUGGGGCCACACACGUGCUACAAUGGCCGGUACAAAGCGCUGCAAACCUGCGAGGGGGAGCCAAUCGCAAAAAACCGGCCUCAGUUCAGAUUGAGGUCUGCAACUCGACCUCAUGAAGGCGGAAUCGCUAGUAAUCGCGGAUCAGCACGCCGCGGUGAAUACGUUCCCGGGGCCUUGUACACACCGCCCGUCACACCACGAAAAGCCUGUUGUACCUGAAGUCGCCCAAGCC